This 75-nucleotide transfer RNA is filed under the name Stylotermes sp. TW5238. RNAcentral describes it as "tRNA-Trp". Lineage: Eukaryota; Metazoa; Arthropoda; Insecta; Blattodea; Stylotermitidae. The record is from RNAcentral. RNAcentral also lists the same sequence under 3 other names.
UAGGCCUUAAGUUAAAUUAAACUAAUAUCCUUCAAAGCUAUAAAUAAAGGCUAUUCCACAACCCUUUAGGUCUUG